UGCAAGUCGAACGGUAGAGGGGGCAACCCCUUGAGAGUGGCGAACGGCUGAGUAAUAUAUCGGAACGUGCCCAGUCGUGGGGGAUAACGUAGUGAAAAUUACGCUAAUACCGCAUACGAUCUAAGGAUGAAAGCGGGGGAUCGCAAGACCUCGCGCGAUUGGAGCGGCCGAUAUCAGAUUAGGUAGUUGGUAGGGUAAAGGCCUACCAAGCCAACGAUCUGUAGCUGGUCUGAGAGGACGACCAGCCACACUGGAACUGAGACACGGUCCAGACUCCUACGGGAGGCAGCAGUGGGGAAUUUUGGACAAUGGGGGGAACCCUGAUCCAGCAAUGCCGCGUGUGUGAAGAAGGCCUUCGGGUUGUAAAGCACUUUUGUCAGGAACGAAACGGUGGGGGCUAAUACCUCCUGCUAAUGACGGUACCUGAAGAAUAAGCACCGGCUAACUACGUGCCAGCAGCCGCGGUAAUACGUAGGGUGCGAGCGUUAAUCGGAAUUACUGGGCGUAAAGCGUGCGCAGGCGGUUGUGCAAGACAGAUGUGAAAUCCCCGGGCUCAACCUGGGAAUUGCAUUUGUGACUGCACGGCUAGAGUGUGUCAGAGGGGGGUAGAAUUCCACGUGUAGCAGUGAAAUGCGUAGAUAUGUGGAGGAAUACCGAUGGCGAAGGCAGCCCCCUGGGAUAACACUGACGCUCAUGCACGAAAGCGUGGGGAGCAAACAGGAUUAGAUACCCUGGUAGUCCACGCCCUAAACGAUGUCUACUAGUUGUCGGGUCUUAAUUGACUUGGUAACGCAGCUAACGCGUGAAGUAGACCGCCUGGGGAGUACGGUCGCAAGAUAAAACUCAAAGGAAUUGACGGGGACCCGCACAAGCGGUGGAUGAUGUGGAUUA
RNAcentral lists this ribosomal RNA (891 nucleotides) under uncultured Burkholderiales bacterium. RNAcentral's name for it is "bacterial SSU rRNA". It matches the Rfam family "Bacterial small subunit ribosomal RNA", at positions 56 to 948 of the family's 1533-position model. The record is from RNAcentral. Lineage: Bacteria; Pseudomonadati; Pseudomonadota; Betaproteobacteria; Burkholderiales.